CCCUAUUAUUGAAAAUGUAAAUAUAAAUGCUUGAGUAUUAGUAGCUAUGUUCUUGAAAUUUAAAGGAUUUGGCGGUAUUAUAGUCUAUUCAGAGGAACCUGUCCUAUAAUUGAUGAUCCACGAUUAAUCUUACUUGUUUUAAAGGUUUGUAUAUCGUCGUAGGUUGAAUGUUUUGAAAGGAAGAGGAAUAUUCAAGAUAUUAGGUUAAAGAGGAAAUCAGAUCAAGAUACAGCGGAUAGACAAGGAGAGAUGGGUUACAAUAAAUUUAUUUAUAUGGUUGAAAUAGUUAACACUAUUUUUUAAAGUGGAUUUGAUUGUAAUAUAGUUUAGUUAAACUAUAUGACUGAAGCUCUUUAAUAUGCAUAUCUCGCCCGUCGCUCCUGCUCUAAAGCAGGAUAAGU
Molecule: ribosomal RNA, 401 nt
Filed under: Paracotalpa ursina
Lineage: Eukaryota; Metazoa; Arthropoda; Insecta; Coleoptera; Scarabaeidae
Description: partial small subunit ribosomal RNA
Source: RNAcentral